Populus trichocarpa (black cottonwood) is the source of this 926-nucleotide long non-coding RNA. RefSeq lists it as uncharacterized. The transcript has 2 exons. The record is from RefSeq and is a predicted model, not a curated record. NCBI's taxonomy places the organism in Eukaryota, Viridiplantae, Streptophyta, Magnoliopsida, Malpighiales, Salicaceae.
GGGCAAACGUGGAUUACGUGUUAAGGUUUUGUGGUCAUGGGCGUUGAAAACGAGGUUGUUUAUCAUCAGCAAUUCGCCUUCUUCUUUACUAAACCUGUUAAACUAGUAAAGUUAGUUCACAAGGCACCUUAAAAGUUCCUUCAGAUGUAUGUGGAUAUGAAAAUUACAAUGAUUUUUUACCAAAUGUGUGAGGUAAACACCCCAUUAUAGAGUGCUAAUUAAAUUUUCCACCAGCUUGGAGUUAUAUUAAUGAUCAUAUGCAUGUACUCACUUCUCAAAUUGCGACAGUACAGGCAUAAAUUAGUAGCCCAUGGAACUUGUCAGAAACUAGCAGCAAAGUUCUAUGGGCCUUCCUUGGUUCUAAAGAAGAUAGGAACCGUGGCUUACAGAAUGCAAUUACCCCCAUCUGCAACAAUUCACCCAGUUUUUCAUGUGUCACAACUUAAGAAGCACGUUGGUAAUAGAAUGGUGCAGGCAAGCUUACCUAGUUUCUCACAGGAACAGACUCCUCAACCUCGAGCAGUUUUAAAUAGAAGAAUGCUCAAGAAGGGACAUCAGGCUGCUACACAAGCUCUUAUUCACUGGGACAUCCUCUCACCAGAAGACGCCACCUGGGAGUUUGCAGACGACCUCAAGCGCAGGUUCCCACCUUCUCUCUUGAGGACAAGGUCGAAUUGAAGAGGGGAGCAUUGUCAGGUGUGGCAACCUGAAGAAGAGAAGAAGCUACAGUAUCUCAAGAUUGAUUUAUAAAUCAAAUCGUUAGGCUAAGUAACUAUUGUGCAAUACGCACCGUUUCAUUAAGUGCGAUACGCACCGUUUUAUUUGAAGAACAAACCCUGUGUCCGUAGGCUAGAACGCAGCGUUUUAUCAUCUCUUUUCAGUUAUUUUAUUGCAAGGUACUGUGCAUUCUGGGCUGCUUAGAAUCA